RNAcentral lists this ribosomal RNA (253 nucleotides) under uncultured bacterium. RNAcentral's name for it is "partial 16S ribosomal RNA". It matches the Rfam family "Bacterial small subunit ribosomal RNA", at positions 524 to 776 of the family's 1533-position model. The record is from RNAcentral.
UACGAAGGGGGCUAGCGUUGUUCGGAAUCACUGGGCGUAAAGGGCGCGUAGGCGGCUUUAUAAGUCGGGGGUGAAAGCCUGUGGCUCAACCACAGAAUUGCCUUCGAUACUGUAGAGCUUGAGACCGGAAGAGGUAAGUGGAACUGCGAGUGUAGAGGUGAAAUUCGUAGAUAUUCGCAAGAACACCAGUGGCGAAGGCGGCUUACUGGGCCGGUCCUGACGCUGAGACGCGAAAGCGUGGGGAGCAAACAGG